GUCUAUGUAAUUUAUUAAAAAUACUGGUCUUGUAAAUCAGAAAAAGGAUUUUACCUCUUAGGCU
Molecule: transfer RNA, 64 nt
Filed under: Tetraclita japonica (Japanese acorn barnacle)
Lineage: Eukaryota; Metazoa; Arthropoda; Thecostraca; Balanomorpha; Tetraclitidae
Description: tRNA-Thr
Source: RNAcentral